Molecule: non-coding RNA, 84 nt
Organism: Vicugna pacos (alpaca)
Lineage: Eukaryota; Metazoa; Chordata; Mammalia; Artiodactyla; Camelidae
Source: RefSeq, a predicted model, not a curated record
GUUGGCCUUUGGGAUUAAGAUGGCAGAAGGUUCAACUUCCAGUAGACCAUGAGCUUCAAUAUACACUCAUUGUACUACAAGAGC